AUACCUUUCUCGGCCUUUUGGCUAAGAUAAGUGUAGUAUCUGUCCUUAUCAGUUUAAUAUCUUAUAUGUGAGGCCUCGUUAUCACAACGAUAUUAAUUUUUUUUUGGGGGGAAGGAUGAGUGUAGUGGCUUGCCACUUGGAUCCUUAAGUGUCGCCUAGGCGUUGCACUAUAGCUAGGCUCGGCGCACCCCAA
Panicum virgatum (switchgrass) is the source of this 193-nucleotide small nuclear RNA. RefSeq annotates it as U2 spliceosomal RNA. Lineage: Eukaryota; Viridiplantae; Streptophyta; Magnoliopsida; Poales; Poaceae. The record is from RefSeq and is a predicted model, not a curated record. The transcript has a single exon.